CCUUACCUACCCUUGACAUGCCUGGAACCCUGGAGAGAUCUGGGGGUGCCCGAAAGGGAGCCGGGACACAGGUGCUGCAUGGCUGUCGUCAGCUCGUGUCGUGAGAUGUUGGGUUAAGUCCCGCAACGAGCGCAACCCUUGUCACUAGUUGCUACGCGAGGGCACUCUAGUGAGACUGCCGGUGACAAACCGGAGGAAGGUGGGGAUGACGUCAAGUCCUCAUGGCCCUUAUGGGUAGGGCUUCACACGUCAUACAAUGGUCGGUACAGAGGGUUGCCAAGCCGCGAGGUGGAGCCAAUCCCAGAAAGCCGAUCGUAGUCCGGAUUGCAGUCUGCAACUCGACUGCAUGAAGUCGGAAUCGCUAGUAAUCGCGGAUCAGCAUGUCGCGGUGAAUACGUUCCCGGGUCUU
Molecule: ribosomal RNA, 409 nt
Filed under: uncultured beta proteobacterium
Lineage: Bacteria; Pseudomonadati; Pseudomonadota; Betaproteobacteria
Description: bacterial SSU rRNA
Rfam family: Bacterial small subunit ribosomal RNA
Source: RNAcentral